RNAcentral lists this ribosomal RNA (477 nucleotides) under uncultured bacterium. RNAcentral describes it as "partial 16S ribosomal RNA". It matches the Rfam family "Bacterial small subunit ribosomal RNA", at positions 28 to 506 of the family's 1533-position model. The record is from RNAcentral.
GAUGAACGCUGGCGGCGUGCUUAACACAUGCAAGUCGAACGGGAAACCUUUUAUUGAAGCUUCGGCAGAUUUAGCUGGUUUCUAGUGGCGGACGGGUGAGUAACGCGUGGGUAACCUGCCUUAUACAGGGGGAUAACAACCAGAAAUGGUUGCUAAUACCGCAUAAGCGCACAGGACCGCAUGGUCCGGUGUGAAAAACUCCGGUGGUAUAAGAUGGACCCGCGUUGGAUUAGCUAGUUGGCAGGGUAACGGCCUACCAAGGCGACGAUCCAUAGCCGGCCUGAGAGGGUGAACGGCCACAUUGGGACUGGUACACGGCCCAGACUCCGGCGGGAGGCAGCAGUGGGGAAUAUUGCACAAUGGGGGAAAGCCUGAUGCAGCGACGCCGCGUGAAGGAAGAAGUAUCUCGGUAUGUAAACUUCUAUCAGCAGGGAAGAUAGUGACGGUACCUGACGAAGAAGCCCCGGCUAACUACGU